RNAcentral lists this transfer RNA (69 nucleotides) under Ictidomys tridecemlineatus (thirteen-lined ground squirrel). RNAcentral's name for it is "Spermophilus tridecemlineatus (thirteen-lined ground squirrel) tRNA". It matches the Rfam family "tRNA". From Rfam's summary of the family: Transfer RNA (tRNA) molecules are approximately 80 nucleotides in length. Their secondary structure includes four short double-helical elements and three loops (D, anti-codon, and T loops). The record is from Rfam by way of RNAcentral. Lineage: Eukaryota; Metazoa; Chordata; Mammalia; Rodentia; Sciuridae.
GGGGUUGUAGCUCAGUGGUAGAGCGCUUGCCUAGCACGUGUGAGGUAUUAGGUUCAAUUCUCAGCACCG